UACGUAGGGCGCAAGCGUUGUCCGGAAUUACUGGGCGUAAAGGGUGCGUAGGCGGGUCUUUAAGUCAGGGGUGAAAUCCUGGAGCUCAACUCCAGAACUGCCUUUGAUACUGAAGAUCUUGAGUUCGGGAGAGGUGAGUGGAACUGCGAGUGUAGAGGUGAAAUUCGUAGAUAUUCGCAAGAACACCAGUGGCGAAGGCGGCUCACUGGCCCGAUACUGACGCUGAGGCACGAAAGCGUGGGGAGCAAACAGG
This 253-nucleotide ribosomal RNA is filed under the name uncultured bacterium. RNAcentral's name for it is "partial 16S ribosomal RNA". It matches the Rfam family "Bacterial small subunit ribosomal RNA", at positions 524 to 776 of the family's 1533-position model. The record is from RNAcentral.